GACGAACGCUGGCGGCGUGCUUAACACAUGCAAGUCGAACGGAAAGGCCCUGCUUUUGUGGGGUGCUCGAGUGGCGAACGGGUGAGUAACACGUGAGUAACCUGCCCUUGACUUUGGGAUAACUUCAGGAAACUGGGGCUAAUACCGGAUAGGAGCUCCUGCUGCAUGGUGGGGGUUGGAAAGUUUCGGCGGUUGGGGAUGGACUCGCGGCUUAUCAGCUUGUUGGUGGGGUAGUGGCUUACCAAGGUUUUGACGGGUAGCCGGCCUGAGAGGGUGACCGGCCACAUUGGGACUGAGAUACGGCCCAGACUCCUACGGGAGGCAGCAGUGGGGAAUAUUGCACAAUGGGCGGAAGCGUGAUGCAGCAGCGCCGCGUGCGGGAUGACGGCCUUCGGGUUGUAAACCGCUUUCGCCUGUGACGAAGCGUGAGUGACGGUAAUGGGUAAAGAAGCACCGGCUAACUACGUG
Molecule: ribosomal RNA, 468 nt
Filed under: uncultured bacterium
Lineage: Bacteria
Description: partial 16S ribosomal RNA
Rfam family: Bacterial small subunit ribosomal RNA
Source: RNAcentral